UCAAAAGUCACACCUACCCAUAUAUUGUUUCGCCACCAAAAUAUUCCCCUUUGUUCGUACGAAUUGAAAUCUGAUUCAUGAUUUUAAAGCAUGAAAACAAGCAUGUGGAUUGCCUGUUUGAUGACAGUUCAAUGUGCUUUUUCUAGAGCAAAAAUUGCAGGAAGUGAAACAACGUUUUCACGCCGCUAGAACGAUAUUGGAAUUUGGAACACAAUAUGACAAU
Molecule: non-coding RNA, 223 nt
Organism: Paramuricea clavata
Lineage: Eukaryota; Metazoa; Cnidaria; Anthozoa; Malacalcyonacea; Plexauridae
Source: the annotation of a GenBank genome assembly